This 376-nucleotide ribosomal RNA is filed under the name uncultured bacterium. RNAcentral's name for it is "bacterial SSU rRNA". It matches the Rfam family "Bacterial small subunit ribosomal RNA", at positions 30 to 409 of the family's 1533-position model. The record is from RNAcentral.
AUUGAACGCUGGCGGCAUGCCUUACACAUGCAAGUCGAACGGCAGCACGGGGCAACCUGGUGGCGAGUGGCGAACGGGUGAGUAAUGCAUCGGAACGUGCCAUUGAGUGGGGGAUAACGUAGCGAAAGUUGCGCUAAUACCGCAUAUUCUGUGAGCAGGAAAGCAGGGACCGCAAGGCCUUGCGCUCUUUGAGCGGCCGAUGUCAGAUUAGCUAGUUGGUGAGGUAACGGCUUACCAAGGCGACGAUCUGUAGCGGGUCUGAGAGGAUGAUCCGCCACACUGGAACUGAGACACGGUCCAGACUCCUACGGGAGGCAGCAGUGGGGAAUUUUGGACAAUGGGCGCAAGCCUGAUCCAGCCAUGCCGCGUGAGUGAA